GGAGGGCGCGGCGGUCGCUGCA
Molecule: small nuclear RNA, 22 nt
Filed under: Arabidopsis thaliana (thale cress)
Lineage: Eukaryota; Viridiplantae; Streptophyta; Magnoliopsida; Brassicales; Brassicaceae
Description: snRNA_17500
Source: RNAcentral